RNAcentral lists this ribosomal RNA (253 nucleotides) under uncultured bacterium. Its description in RNAcentral is "partial 16S ribosomal RNA". It matches the Rfam family "Bacterial small subunit ribosomal RNA", at positions 524 to 776 of the family's 1533-position model. The record is from RNAcentral.
UACGUAGGGUGCGAGCGUUAAUCGGAAUGACUGGGCGUAAAGGGUGCGUAGGCGGUCAAGCGAGCUUGAUGUGAAAUCCCCGGGCUUAACCUGGGAAUGGCAUUGAGGACAGUUUAACUAGAGUCUGUCAGAGGGGGGUAGAAUUCCACGUGUAGCAGUGAAAUGCGUAGAGAUGUGGAGGAAUACCGAUGGCGAAGGCAGCCCCCUGGGAUGAGACUGACGCUGAGGCACGAAGGCGUGGGUAGCAAACAGG